This 253-nucleotide ribosomal RNA is filed under the name uncultured bacterium. RNAcentral's name for it is "partial 16S ribosomal RNA". It matches the Rfam family "Bacterial small subunit ribosomal RNA", at positions 524 to 776 of the family's 1533-position model. The record is from RNAcentral.
UACGUAGGUGGCGAGCGUUGUCCGGAUUUACUGGGCGUAAAGGGCGUGCAGGCGGUUUGUUAAGUGCAGGGUGAAAGCUCCCGGCUCAACUGGGAGAGGUCCUUGCAUACUGGCGAACUCGAGGGAGGCAGGGGAAAGUGGAAUUCCCGGUGUAGUGGUGAUAUGCGUAGAUAUCGGGAGGAACACCUGUGGCGAAGGCGGCUUUCUGGGCCUUACCUGACGCUGAGACGCGAAAGCGUGGGGAGCGAACCGG